This 181-nucleotide non-coding RNA is filed under the name uncultured Intestinimonas sp. RNAcentral's name for it is "Lysine riboswitch". It matches the Rfam family "Lysine riboswitch aptamer". From Rfam's summary of the family: Riboswitches are metabolite binding domains within certain messenger RNAs that serve as precision sensors for their corresponding targets. Lineage: Bacteria; Bacillati; Bacillota; Clostridia; Eubacteriales. The record is from RNAcentral.
UGAGAUAGAGGCCGCGCCGCGCCAUCAGUAGCCGUCCCCCAUGUCGUGCAGGACAGGGGCGGGGAAAGGGGCGGGCGCCGAAGGGGACCCCGUCUGCAUGGGGGGUCUUGCUGGGCGGAUGAAAUAAGAUUCAUCCGACUGUCGCAAAAACGUCCGCCAGGACGUCUGCGGAGAGCUAUCC